AGUGAACGCUGGCGGUAGGCCUAACACAUGCAAGUCGAACGGCAGCACAGUAAGAGCUUGCUCUUACGGGUGGCGAGUGGCGGACGGGUGAGGAAUACAUCGGAAUCUACUUUUUCGUGGGGGAUAACGUAGGGAAACUUACGCUAAUACCGCAUACGAACUACGGGUGAAAGCAGGGGAUCUUCGGACCUUGCGCGAUUGAAUGAGCCGAUGUCGGAUUAGCUAGUUGGCGGGGUAAAGGCCCACAAAGGCGACGAUCCGUAGCUGGUCUGAGAGGAUGAUCAGCCACACUGGAACUGAGACACGGUCCAGACUCCUACGGGAGGCAGCAGUGGGGAAUAUUGGACAAUGGGCGCAAGCCUGAUCCAGCCAUACCGCGUGGGUGAAGAAGGCCUUCGGGUUGUAAAGCCCUUUUGUUGGGAAAGAAAAGCAGCAGGUUAAUACCCCGCUGUUCUGACGGUACCCAAAGAAUAAGCACCGGCUAACUUCGUG
This 492-nucleotide ribosomal RNA is filed under the name uncultured bacterium. RNAcentral's name for it is "partial 16S ribosomal RNA". It matches the Rfam family "Bacterial small subunit ribosomal RNA", at positions 29 to 507 of the family's 1533-position model. The record is from RNAcentral.